Molecule: ribosomal RNA, 253 nt
Filed under: uncultured bacterium
Lineage: Bacteria
Description: partial 16S ribosomal RNA
Rfam family: Bacterial small subunit ribosomal RNA
Source: RNAcentral
UACAGGGGGGGCAAGCGUUGUUCGGAAUUACUGGGCGUAAAGGGCUUGUAGGUGGCCAACUAAGUCACACGUGAAAUCCCCAGGCUUAACCUGGGAACUGCGUGUGAUACUGGAUGGCUUGAAUCCGGGAGAGGGAUGCGGAAUUCCAGGUGUAGCGGUGAAAUGCGUAGAUAUCUGGAGGAACACCGGUGGCGAAGGCGGCAUCCUGGACCGGUACUGACGCUGAGACGCGAAAGCGUGGGGAGCGAACAGG